Molecule: ribosomal RNA, 253 nt
Filed under: uncultured prokaryote
Description: partial 16S ribosomal RNA
Rfam family: Bacterial small subunit ribosomal RNA
Source: RNAcentral
UACGAAGGGGGCUAGCGUUGCUCGGAAUCACUGGGCGUAAAGGGCGCGUAGGCGGCUUUGCAAGUCAAAGGUGAAAUCCCUCGGCUCAACUGAGGAACUGCCUUUGAAACUGUGAGGCUUGAGUCCGGGAGGGGGUAGCGGAAUUCCCAGUGUAGCGGUGAAAUGCGUAGAUAUUGGGAGGAACACCAGUGGCGAAGGCGGCUACCUGGACCGGAACUGACGCUGAUGCGCGAAAGCGUGGGUAGCAAACAGG